Sapajus apella (tufted capuchin) is the source of this 256-nucleotide long non-coding RNA. RefSeq lists it as uncharacterized. The record is from RefSeq and is a predicted model, not a curated record. Lineage: Eukaryota; Metazoa; Chordata; Mammalia; Primates; Cebidae. The transcript has 3 exons.
UGGGGGCAGUGCUCGCCUGCUCUGCCCCACAGACUCCUGCAGGUUUUGGUCCCAGAGAUAAUAUCCAAAGGAUAGAGAAGGAGCGGGAAAGCAGAGAGAGAGCUUGAAGGAGGAAAUUGAAGCAGAACAUAAUCCAAAUCUAUUCAGAGAACACUUUGGUUCAGUGAGGACUUAAUCAAGAAUACUCAUUCUGUACAGGCCAGGCAGGACAUGGAUGAACCUGGAAACCAUCAUUCUCAGCAAACUGACACAAGAA